Molecule: long non-coding RNA, 580 nt
Filed under: Homo sapiens (human)
Lineage: Eukaryota; Metazoa; Chordata; Mammalia; Primates; Hominidae
Description: long non-coding RNA NONHSAT194764.1
Source: RNAcentral
GCAAGCAUAUGACUACUUGUUUUUUGGUUUAUACGUGACCAACAUUUGCAUAUUAAAAUACACAUUAUGUUGUUGUUGUCAGCCUUUCUGGAAAUUACGUUUAUAUAGGACAUAUCUGUGAAUUUUGUUUCAGGAUGGUAAAGGAGGUGGUGUUACAUUUCUGUACUGCUGGUGCAUUGAGAGACCCAAGCAAGUAUCAGGCUUUUCAUCCGUGGAACACAUGCUCCAGAACCUUCUAGCUGUUCACUUGUGAUGGAUACUCUGUUAGCCUUCACUAUUGAAUGCACUUUUAAAAAUGAUCAAAACCAACAUUUCCCACAGUAUGAAAUGUUUGCAAAAAAGGAUUACAUGCUUUGGGUGUGGACGCCAAGAAGUGACAAAAAAAGGAAGUUGGGAUCAUUACGGUUAACCCAAGCAUGUUGGAAACCAGAGAGAGGCUGAGUGCUAUCAUACACAGACCCAUGAAUCGGAGUCAAAAGUCCUCACCAGAAACUGAACAGAUGCUGAGACAAUAAUUCUUGAACUUCCCAGCCUAGAGAACAAUGAGCUACAUUUGAGGGAUGAACAAACGAAGAAAUGG